AUGUUGGAAGAUGGUGAGAGUACUUUUUGUUCAGCUUUCUGCCGAGCCGUCCCAGCGCAGCGGUUCCCUCCUCUGAGGUUACAGCCUCCCCAAGGGUUGGAACUGCCCUCCCUCUGCAGCCUGAGAACCCAAAAUGUUGGCUGAGGACCUCCUUCCUUCUCCUCACCUCGCAGGCAAACUCAAGCUCUAAGCCAUUACAAUGGGUCCUGAACGUGUGCUCGUGGAUUAAAGGCUUGAGGGACCCUGGAAGAUGCUGAUCCCUGGCAGAGGAUAUGGACUCCAUCCCUACUGAAAUCAGCCCCAGCAGUAAUUGUGUGGUGUGAUGUGAAUUGUUUUUCCUGCACUUGUCUGCUGACUGUGUUUAAAGUCCCCUGAGAACAAACAGAUCAGAGAUUUUACAGCUGCACAGAGCUUGUGCCUGAACAUUAAUGGCUACGUUGGCAAGCAGAUGGGAGCUGGUCUUUCUUACUCUUUCCCAAAGAUGUACCAUCUUUUCUUUUGACAUUUUGAUAGAUCAGCAGAUUCUCACUCUGUGUUAUAUUCCAGGCAUGCAGCUGAGAGACGAUUAAUGCCUAUGACAGUGAAAACACUGCACCUUUAUUCCUUAUAAAAGUCUUUACUGUGUCACAUCUUGUAGGAUAACAUCCAGAACAGGGAAACGGUGGCUCCAUUCAAGUCUAUUGCAGAACUCACAGGGAUAAAAGUCUCUCAUUCAUAAAGCUGUAAGCACACCUUACUAUUUUUUAAACUUUAAUAAAUGAAAUGCUCUCAGGACGAGCCA
RNAcentral lists this long non-coding RNA (781 nucleotides) under Junco hyemalis (dark-eyed junco). RNAcentral describes it as "lncRNA (ENSJHYG00000013729.1)". Lineage: Eukaryota; Metazoa; Chordata; Aves; Passeriformes; Passerellidae. The record is from RNAcentral.